RNAcentral lists this ribosomal RNA (761 nucleotides) under uncultured bacterium. RNAcentral describes it as "bacterial SSU rRNA". It matches the Rfam family "Bacterial small subunit ribosomal RNA", at positions 31 to 783 of the family's 1533-position model. The record is from RNAcentral.
GAACGUUAGCGGUGUGGAUUAGGCAUGCAAGUCGUGCGCGAAAGCCUUCGGGCGAGUAAAGCGGCGAAAGGGUGAGUAACACGUAAUCAACGUACCCCUGAGAUCGGAAUAACUGCUGGAAACGGUAGAUAAUGCCGAAUGGUCCCCGCGGAGGGCAUCCUCUGCGGAGUAAACGGUGGCUUCGGCUGCUGCUUGGGGAGCGGGUUGCGGACUAUCAGCUUGUUGGUGGGGUAAUGGCCUACCAAGGCUUUGACGGAUAGCGGGUCUGAGAGGAUGAUCCGUCACACUGGGACUGAGACACUGCCCAGACUCCUACGGGAGGCUGCAGUCGAGAAUCUUCCGCAAUGGGCGAAAGCCUGACGGAGCGACACCGCGUGCAGGAUGAAGGCCUUAGGGUUGUAAACUGCUGUCACGCCAUAGGAAUGUCCUGUCGUUAAUAGCUGCAGGAUUGACCAAAGCGAAAGGAAGUACCGGCUAACUCCGUGCCAGCAGCCGCGGUAAUACGGAGGGUACAAACGUUGUUCGGAAUCACUGGGCAUAAAGAGCACGUAGGCGGCUUACUCAGUCGGAUGUGAAAGCCCUCGGCUCAACCGAGGAACUGCAUCCGAUACUGGUAAGCUCGAGGAUAGCAGGGGUGAGUGGAACUCCAGGUGGAACGGUGAAAUGUGUAGAUAUCUGGAGGAACACCGGUGGCGAAAGCGGCUCACUGGGCUAUCUCUGACGCUGAGGUGCGAAAGCUAGGGUAGCAAACGGGAUUAGAU